This 479-nucleotide ribosomal RNA is filed under the name uncultured bacterium. RNAcentral describes it as "partial 16S ribosomal RNA". It matches the Rfam family "Bacterial small subunit ribosomal RNA", at positions 28 to 507 of the family's 1533-position model. The record is from RNAcentral.
GAUGAACGCUAGCGGUAGGCCUAACACAUGCAAGUCGAGCGGUAUUUCUUCUUGGGCACAGAAAGACCGGCUAACGGGUUCGUAACACUUGUGCACCCUGCCUUUAUCUCGGGGAUAGCCUUUCGAAAGUAAGUUUACUACCCCAUAUUAUAUUUAGUCGCUUCAUUUGAUAUCUGAGUCUCCUCUGGUUAUUGGUGGGCUCGCGCCCCAUUAGCUCGUUGGUGAGGUAACGGCUAACCGAGUCAAUGAGCUUUAGGGGACCUGAGAGGGUGAUACCCCAGAGAGGUACUGAGACACGGACGAGAAACCGAGGGAAGGUAGCAGUGAGGAAGAUUGGACAAUGGAUAAGCGCCUGAUCCAGCCAUCCCGCGUGAAGGACGACGCCCCUAUGGGAGGUAAACUGCUGUUGUAUAGAGAUAAACCUACUCUCGUGAGAGUAGCUGAAGGUACUAUACGAAUAAGCACCGGCUAACUCCGUG